CCUACGGGAGUCAGCAGUGGGGAAUAUUGCACAAUGGGGGAAACCCUGAUGCAGCGACGCCGCGUGAGUGAAGAAGUAUCUCGGUACGUAAAGCUCUAUCAGCAGGGAAGAAAAUGACGGUACCUGACUAAGAAGCCCCGGCUAACUACGUGCCAGCAGCCGCGGACAUAAGUAGGGGGCAAGCGUUAGCCGGAUUUACUGGGUGUAAAGGUAGCGUAGACGGCAGCACAAGUAUGGAGUGAAAUCCGGGGGCUUAACCCCGGAACUGCUUUGGAAACUGUGCGGCUGGAGUGCAGGAGGGGUAAGCGGAAUUCCUAGUGUAGCGGUGAAAUGCGUAGAUAUUAGGAGGAACACCGGUGGCGAAGGCGGCGUACUGGACUGUAACUGACGUUGAGGCUCGAAAGCGUGGGGAGCAAACAGGAUUAGAUACCCGUGUAGUC
This 440-nucleotide ribosomal RNA is filed under the name uncultured bacterium. RNAcentral describes it as "partial 16S ribosomal RNA". It matches the Rfam family "Bacterial small subunit ribosomal RNA", at positions 338 to 795 of the family's 1533-position model. The record is from RNAcentral.